RNAcentral lists this ribosomal RNA (253 nucleotides) under uncultured bacterium. Its description in RNAcentral is "partial 16S ribosomal RNA". It matches the Rfam family "Bacterial small subunit ribosomal RNA", at positions 524 to 776 of the family's 1533-position model. The record is from RNAcentral.
UCCGAAGGGGGCUAGCGUUGCUCGGAAUCACUGGGCGUAAAGCGCACGUAGGCGGCUUUCUAAGUCAGGGGUGAAAUCCUGGAGCUCAACUCCAGAACUGCCUUUGAUACUGGAGAGCUUGAGUCCGGAAGAGGUGAGUGGAACUCCGAGUGUAGAGGUGAAAUUCGUAGAUAUUCGGAGGAACACCAGUGGCGAAGGCGGCUCACUGGUCCGGUACUGACGCUGAUGUGCGAAAGCAUGGGGAGCAAACAGG